This 254-nucleotide ribosomal RNA is filed under the name uncultured prokaryote. Its description in RNAcentral is "partial 16S ribosomal RNA". It matches the Rfam family "Bacterial small subunit ribosomal RNA", at positions 524 to 777 of the family's 1533-position model. The record is from RNAcentral.
UACGGAGGAUGCAAGCGUUAUCCGGAUUCAUUGGGUUUAAAGGGUGCGUAGGCGGACUAUUAAGUCAGUGGUGAAAGCCUGCGGCUUAACUGCAGAACUGCCAUUGAUACUGAUAGUCUUGAGUUUGGUUAAGGUAGGCGGAAUGUGUAAUGUAGCGGUGAAAUGCUUAGAUAUUACGCAGAACACCAAUUGCGUAGGCAGCUUACUGAGCCGACACUGACGCUGAGGCACGAAAGCGUGGGGAUCGAACAGGA